CCGACACGGCACAUGCACCAUUAUACCAAAGCGGUCGUCAAACAGCAAAAGGUAACUGCUGUAAAUUGUUGAGAAAUUCCCUCGAGUGUUUAUGGGCUCCAUCAUCAAACCUGGUCCUGCGACACAGAUGAUCACACAGCAGGUAAUUGCUAUAAAUCGUUGAAAAGUUCCCUCGACUAUCUUUCGUAACCCUCAUCAGACUGAAAUGGCACUUAUAACACAUAUAUAUGCAAAGUUCUCAUCAAUAGAAACGGAUUAAGUUCAAACAGCAGGUAAUUGCUAUAAAUCGUUAAAGAGUUCCCUCGACUAACUUUUGUCUCCAUCAUCAGACUGUAAUGGCACUUAUAACUCAUACAGGUGCAAAGUUCUCAUCUAUAGAAACGAAUUAAGUUCAAAAAGCAGGUAAUUGCUAUAAAUUCUUAAAGAGUUCCCUCGACUAUCUUUCGUCUCCAUCAUCAGACUUUAAUGGCACUUGUAACUCAUAUAGGUGCAAAAUUCUCAUCAAUAGAAACGAAUUAAGUUCAAACAGCAGGUAAUUGCUAUAAGUCGUUGAAGAGUACCCCCGAAUAUCUUUCGUCUCCAUCAUUAGACUGAAAUGGCACUUAUAACUCAUAUAUAUGCAAAGUUCUCAUCAAUAGAAACGAAUUAAGUUCAAAAAGCAGGUAAUUGCUAUAAAUCGUUAAAGAGUUCCCUCGACUAACUUUUGUCUCCAUCAUCAGACUGUAAUGGCACUUAUAACUCAUACAGGUGCAAAGUUCUCAUCAAUAGAAACGAAUUAAGUUCAAAAAGCAGGUAAUUGCUAUAAAUUGUUGAAGAGUUCCCUCGACUAUCUCUCUUCUCCAUCAUCAGAUCGACUCCAGACCUUUAUUAAAUAGUAGUGCUUUAUAGUACCUAAUGAAAACAUGAUUAAAUUUACUAGUCAUCCUUACGAUUUUUGAAAGUUUCCCUCGAUUUCUCUGGGAUCCCAUCAUCAGAUCCUGGUUUCCUUAUCAUGGUACCAAACUAUGAAUAUCUCCUUUCCAACAAAAAAAGAAUUAUCAAAAUCGGUUCAUAAACGAA
This 1059-nucleotide unclassified non-coding RNA is filed under the name Melitaea cinxia (Glanville fritillary). RNAcentral's name for it is "misc RNA ENSMCXG00005011975.1". Lineage: Eukaryota; Metazoa; Arthropoda; Insecta; Lepidoptera; Nymphalidae. The record is from RNAcentral.